RNAcentral lists this ribosomal RNA (783 nucleotides) under Triticum aestivum (bread wheat). RNAcentral describes it as "partial small subunit ribosomal RNA". The record is from RNAcentral. Lineage: Eukaryota; Viridiplantae; Streptophyta; Magnoliopsida; Poales; Poaceae.
AUGAAGAGGAAGAUGGAAGAUAGAAAGAGGAGGCCACCGAGUAUAACUCGUGUAGGGUGUAAAGCUAAAUUGGUGAUUGCAAGACAUGAGGAAACAGGUCAGUGGUUUGUGAAGGAUUUCAUUGAUGAACACAACCAUCCUCUAGCCCCAUGGGAUCUGUCGUAUGUUUUGCGUUCACACAGAAGAAUUAACGAUGAGCAGAAAGCGGACAUUGCAGACAUGAAAAAAUCAGGGAUUAGGAAACACCAUAUUAUGGAUAUUCUGUGCAUGCAAUAUGGUGGAUAUGAUGAGGUUGGAUGCACGAAGAGGGACAUUUACAAUUUCUGCCAUGCUAACAAGCAGGAAUCAAUUGCUUCCGGGGAUGCUCAAACGGUGAUCAAUCACAUGGCGGCGAGGCGAGAGCGAGAUUCAGAUUUUUCCUUCAGGUAUUUGGUUGAUGAAGUUGGCCAUCUAAAGGGACUGUUCUGGUGUGAUAGUCAAUUACGACUUGAAUUUAGUUUCUAUGGUUUUCUUUUUCUGUUCAUAGACACCAAUAAGUACAAUCUGCCAUUUGUGCCGUUUGUCGGGUUGAAUCACCACCGCAACACUGUUAUUUUUGCAUGUGGUAUCAUUUCACAUGAAACAAGCCAGACAUACGAGUGGAUGUUACAGACCUUUUCUGAUGCUAUGGGACAGAAGCAUCCUAUAUCUGUGAUCACGUAUGGGGACCUUGCAAUGCAGAGAGCAAUCAGGGUGGUGUGGCCUGACUCAAACCAUAGGCUCUAUAUAUGGCACAUUCAGUAG